GCCACCACCACAGAUGAGCUCGACCUUGAAUUAUCAUGGAGGAGUUAAAAGAUAGGCGUGCUUUAGAGAGUCGUGGGGACCUCUCCAGAAGGUCCCAACCAAGGUCCAGAGCAGCUUCGUAUUCUGAGUCUGUUGCCCUUGAAGAGAUGAACGGCCAGCAUCCAAAAGCAGUGAUAACUUGCACCCAGAGGGCACUUCAAGAAAUGUGACUUGAUGAGGGUCUAAAGAUGAAGGCUGACAUUUAGAGCUUGUGAAUACAACUUCCACCUCCAUCUGUAAGCAGAAAAUAGUUCAUUAAAUAAAAGU
Long non-coding RNA from Gorilla gorilla gorilla (western lowland gorilla), 306 nucleotides. RefSeq lists it as uncharacterized. The transcript is spliced from 3 exons. NCBI's taxonomy places the organism in Eukaryota, Metazoa, Chordata, Mammalia, Primates, Hominidae. The record is from RefSeq and is a predicted model, not a curated record.